UCGGUGGUGAUGAUCUCGCAAGGAACGUUGUGAAGUUAACAAAUACGAUUUGUAAUGGGCACUGCAGAUAUAAAGUGCCAUAAAAUGCUAAUGAAUGAUAGUGUGCAUCCACUGGUUAGCGGGCCAGCGCAACAGGCCAAGGAUAACAGAAAAAGAGACUGCCUUUUGAACACACAAAGUGCUAUCCUAUUCAUCUGGCCUCAUGCCUGCCGCCGUGGGAGGCUCUGGAUCAGCCCUCAUUAUUCACCCAAACAACUUCCUUUCCCUCUCUGUCUGGGUCUGCAGGCCACUUUCUGAGCAAAGAAAGAUUCCCUGAAACCUUUUGGCGCCAUCAACAACAGCAGCAGCAAGAAAAGUUUGGCUUGAAAAAUUCAUUCAUAGGAUGAAAAAAUACAAUGGAAAUCUAUCAUUAUGGAUGUUUCCGAGAGAGGGAGAAAAAAGACCCGGGCUUUGUUUUGCAUUUUGGUUUGUGUGUCCAUAUGUGAAGACACAGGUGUGGGAUUCCCUCAAGGGAGGAAUUGCUGGGUCAUAUGAUAUUCUGAUUUUCCAGCACGUUUUCAGAUCGAAAAUUAUUGGAAGAAACUGACAACCUAACAGCACAUCACACCAGCCAGGUUAAGUGGGAUUCAAGGGCCCUCCAGGAAGGACAGCCAAGAUUUUUGAUUCAACACUGAAUAAGGAAGCACCUGGAGAAAUAAGCCUCAAAAGAAACAUCUGACAAGCCACUCAAUCCUAUAAACGGUAAGAGUCCCCUGUAUGUCCCAUGUUUGUGAUAUUAAAUAAAUGUGUGUGGGCAACACGGAUUAUAAGGGUCUUUGUCAAGUAAGGGAAUUUCGUUGCUUUGAAUCUCUGAAAGGAAGCGUGAAUCUCUGUUCAAAGCAGUCCAUUCCAUUUUAGCGUGCUCUAAAGAUUAAAAAUGUGUCUUUACAUUAAACCUACAUCUGCCUGGGUCAGAUUUCCUAGUCUUAAUCUUGCCCUCUGGAGCUAACCUGUCCAUUUUAUCUCUUUUCAGAGGACAUUUUCCCCAAAUGCGACUGUAGUUAUCAGACUUUUUUUAAGUCUUCUCUGCACAGUUCCUACAAGCUUUCCUUCCAUGACACAGA
Long non-coding RNA from Lontra canadensis (Northern American river otter), 1103 nucleotides. RefSeq lists it as uncharacterized. The transcript has 5 exons. Lineage: Eukaryota; Metazoa; Chordata; Mammalia; Carnivora; Mustelidae. The record is from RefSeq and is a predicted model, not a curated record.